Molecule: ribosomal RNA, 477 nt
Filed under: Klebsiella pneumoniae
Lineage: Bacteria; Pseudomonadati; Pseudomonadota; Gammaproteobacteria; Enterobacterales; Enterobacteriaceae
Description: bacterial LSU rRNA
Rfam family: Bacterial large subunit ribosomal RNA
Source: RNAcentral
AAAAAGAACCUGAAACCGUGUACGUACAAGCAGUGGGAGCACCUUCGGGUGUGACUGCGUACCUUUUGUAUAAUGGGUCAGCGACUUAUAUUCUGUAGCAAGGUUAACCGUAUAGGGGAGCCGCAGGGAAACCGAGUCUUAACUGGGCGUUAAGUUGCAGGGUAUAGACCCGAAACCCGGUGAUCUAGCCAUGGGCAGGUUGAAGGUUGGGUAACACUAACUGGAGGACCGAACCGACUAAUGUUGAAAAAUUAGCGGAUGACUUGUGGCUGGGGGGUGAAAGGCCAAUCAAACCGGGAGAUAGCUGGUUCUCCCCGAAAGCUAUUUAGGUAGCGCCUCGUGAAUUCAUCUUCGGGGGUAGAGCACUGUUUCGGCUAGGGGGUCAUCCCGACUUACCAACCCGAUGCAAACUACGAAUACCGAAGAAUGUUAUCACGGGAGACACACGGCGGGUGCUAACGUCCGUCGUGAAGAGGG